This 76-nucleotide transfer RNA is filed under the name Candidatus Taylorbacteria bacterium RIFCSPHIGHO2_01_FULL_51_15. RNAcentral's name for it is "tRNA-Lys". It matches the Rfam family "tRNA". From Rfam's summary of the family: Transfer RNA (tRNA) molecules are approximately 80 nucleotides in length. Their secondary structure includes four short double-helical elements and three loops (D, anti-codon, and T loops). The record is from RNAcentral. Lineage: Bacteria; Candidatus Tayloriibacteriota.
CCGCCCAUAGCUCAGCUGGUAGAGCAGAUCCCUCUUAAGGAUAAGGUCGUAGGUUCGAUCCCUACUGGGCGGACAA